Molecule: small RNA, 2010 nt
Filed under: Pongo abelii (Sumatran orangutan)
Lineage: Eukaryota; Metazoa; Chordata; Mammalia; Primates; Hominidae
Description: retained intron
Source: RNAcentral
GGUUUGUAUCCAAUGUCUGGCAUGUGGUUAGGUGCUCACAGAUGCCUGUAGUUGAAUUUCAUGCUAGUAAACUAGUGAAAUGAUUCCCAUGAGGAGGUGAGCCAGUGGUAACGCCCAGAGUCCUGGCUCUAUCUGGUUAGAGGUUCACCCCUGGCACUGUCUCAUGGUAUCCUAGCUGGUCUCCACUUCCUGUCUGGUGCAGCCAGAUUAGUGAGAAACUUUCCCUCUCUACUGCCUUCUCUCCCUGAUUCUUGUCGUGUCCCUACCACCAGUCCCUUAAUAUGUUUGCCCUGUGUUUCCCACUUUACCAAAGGAGUAAGUAGACAGGCAAGUCAGAUUCCAGGUAGAGGAUGUAUAGACUGGCUAGUUCAAGGGUUUGGGGGCAGAAUACCUCUAUUACUUUGUAUGUUUAUAUGGGAGGUUUGCUUAACAAAACAACGAAACUUCUCUAAAAAUCUCUCUCUCUCUCUCUUUUAAAGUUUAAACUCAUAUCCCAGGCAUAUGAAGUGCUUUCAGAUCCAAAGAAAAGGGAUAUUUAUGACCAAGGCGGAGAGCAGGCAAUUAAAGAAGGAGGCUCAGGCAGCCCCAGCUUCUCUUCACCCAUGGACAUCUUUGACAUGUUCUUUGGUGGUGGUGGACGGAUGGCUAGAGAGAGAAGAGGCAAGAAUGUUGUACACCAGUUAUCUGUAACUCUUGAAGAUUUAUAUAAUGGAGUCACGAAGAAAUUGGCCCUCCAGAAAAAUGUAAUUUGUGAGAAAUGUGAAGGUGUUGGUGGGAAGAAGGGAUCGGUGGAGAAGUGCCCGCUGUGCAAGGGGCGGGGGAUGCAGAUCCACAUCCAGCAGAUCGGGCCGGGCAUGGUACAGCAGAUCCAGACCGUGUGCAUUGAGUGCAAGGGCCAGGGUGAGCGCAUCAACCCCAAGGACCGCUGCGAGAGCUGCAGCGGUGCCAAGGUGAUCCGUGAGAAGAAGAUUAUCGAGGUACAUGUUGAAAAAGGUGAGGCUGCGCAGAGCUGGUGCUCCACAGGGGCUGGAAAUGCUGUCUGGGUGCUAAUCGUGGGAUACACAGACUAGAUGUCAGGGAAGUGAGCUGUAUCACAACAUGUAUUGGGUGUGCCAUGAAUUCCUCUUGUUUCCCAGUCAUCUUCUCUUCACCCUUCCUGGCCUUAUUUCCAUUCCAUGUCACCUGCCAAAGUGUUCUUGCUGAGGUUUACUUCCUUGAGAUCACAGACAGCCUCUUUAUGAGGUUUUCUAAUGCUCUGAAAGUCUUACCUGGCCUUGGUUUGGGUUAGUUGCCAUCUCCUGACAUUCUCAAGCCAUUCCUCUCGAAUCUUUCGGAGUGUCUUCCUGGUCGCUUCUGAUGCUCAUUGGCCAUAAGGGCUUGUGUAAGUGUUUAUGGCUGCAUGUUCCCUUUCUCCACAUUUCCCCAUCUGCUGCAUCAGAUUCCUCCAAAUACAGCACCUUCUCCUGCUAUUCAUUUUGCCUGAUGCCAUCAUUUUAAGGCCUUUUUCCAUUUUAGCUGUCCUCCAAGUAUUCCCUGAUGAUUCUGUGGCUUUCCAAUCCAGUAAAUAUAUCCUAGAUCAGAGAUGAGACCAAAAGUAAAAGAAUCAACAGCCAAACCGACACAGGUGUUAUUAAAGGACUUACUGUUUAAACAUGCCUAAACCCUGUGCCUUGAGUGUGCAAGCUGACUUAUUAGAAAAGGACAGGGCUGGCUGACCUGUCCCUAUCAGUCCCAAGUCAUGCACCCUGUGCCCCGGGAAGUGGGCAGUGACCCCAUGCUGGCAGUGUGGCAUCACAGGCCCGGGGCAGGGAGUGCUGUGUAAACCUGGGAUGUAGAGCCACAUUCCCCCUCUCCCUGUGCAUGCUGGGCUUGGCCCCACAUUAUGCCAAGGGAAGCGGGACCUCUUUUCUCAUUGGCCAUCCUAGCCACCCCUCCCUGCCUUGUGCCUGCAUGAGGCUGGGAGACUUGAUGAAUACAGAAUCCCUGAAGGACUCUGUUCCUUCUUCAAAA